CUAUCAUUAACUGAAUCCAUAGGUUAAUGAGGCGAACCGGGGGAACUGAAACAUCUAAGUACCCCGAGGAAAAGAAAUCAACCGAGAUUCCCCCAGUAGCGGCGAGCGAACGGGGAGCAGCCCAGAGCCUGAAUCAGUGUGUGUGUUAGUGGAAGCGUCUGGAAAGGCGCGCGAUACAGGGUGACAGCCCCGUACACAAAAAUGCACAUGCUGUGAGCUCGAUGAGUAGGGCGGGACACGUGGUAUCCUGUCUGAAUAUGGGGGGACCAUCCUCCAAGGCUAAAUACUCCUGACUGACCGAUAGUGAACCAGUACCGUGAGGGAAAGGCGAAAAGAACCCCGGCGAGGGGAGUGAAAAAGAACCUGAAACCGUGUACGUACAAGCAGUGGGAGCACGCUUAGGCGUGUGACUGCGUACCUUUUGUAUAAUGGGUCAGCGACUUAUAUUCUGUAGCAAGGUUAACCGAAUAGGGGAGCCGAAGGGAAACCGAGUCUUAACUGGGCGUUAAGUUGCAGGGUAUAGACCCGAAACCCGGUGAUCUAGCCAUGGGCAGGUUGAAGGUUGGGUAACACUAACUGGAGGACCGAACCGACUAAUGUUGAAAAAUUAGCGGAUGACUUGUGGCUGGGGGUGAAAGGCCAAUCAAACCGGGAGAUAGCUGGUUCUCCCCGAAAGCUAUUUAGGUAGCGCCUCGUGAAUUCAUCUCCGGGGGUAGAGCACUGUUUCGGCAAGGGGGUCAUCCCGACUUACCAACCCGAUGCAAACUGCGAAUACCGGAGAAUGUUAUCACGGGAGACACACGGCGGGUGCUAACGUCCGUCGUGAAGAGGGAAACAACCCAGACCGCCAGCUAAGGUCCCAAAGUCAUGGUUAAGUGGGAAACGAUGUGGGAAGGCCCAGACAGCCAGGAUGUUGGCUUAGAAGCAGCCAUCAUUUAAAGAAAGCGUAAUAGCUCACUGGUCGAGUCGGCCUGCGCGGAAGAUGUAACGGGGCUAAACCAUGCACCGAAGCUGCGGCAGCGACGCUGAUGCGUUGUUGGGUAGGGGAGCGUUCUGUAAGCCUGCGAAGGUGUGCUGUGAGGCAUGCUGGAGGUAUCAGAAGUGCGAAUGCUGACAUAAGUAACGAUAAAGCGGGUGAAAAGCCCGCUCGCCGGAAGACCAAGGGUUCCUGUCCAACGUUAAUCGGGGCAGGGUGAGUCGACCCCUAAGGCGAGGCCGAAAGGCGUAGUCGAUGGGAAACAGGUUAAUAUUCCUGUACUUGGUGUUACUGCGAAGGGGGGACGGAGAAGGCUAUGUUGGCCGGGCGACGGUUGUCCCGGUUUAAGCGUGUAGGCUGGUUUUCCAGGCAAAUCCGGAAAAUCAAGGCUGAGGCGUGAUGACGAGGCACUACGGUGCUGAAGCAACAAAUGCCCUGCUUCCAGGAAAAGCCUCUAAGCAUCAGGUAACAUCAAAUCGUACCCCAAACCGACACAGGUGGUCAGGUAGAGAAUACCAAGGCGCUUGAGAGAACUCGGGUGAAGGAACUAGGCAAAAUGGUGCCGUAACUUCGGGAGAAGGCACGCUGAUAUGUAGGUGAAGUCCCUCGCGGAUGGAGCUGAAAUCAGUCGAAGAUACCAGCUGGCUGCAACUGUUUAUUAAAAACACAGCACUGUGCAAACACGAAAGUGGACGUAUACGGUGUGACGCCUGCCCGGUGCCGGAAGGUUAAUUGAUGGGGUUAGCGCAAGCGAAGCUCUUGAUCGAAGCCCCGGUAAACGGCGGCCGUAACUAUAACGGUCCUAAGGUAGCGAAAUUCCUUGUCGGGUAAGUUCCGACCUGCACGAAUGGCGUAAUGAUGGCCAGGCUGUCUCCACCCGAGACUCAGUGAAAUUGAACUCGCUGUGAAGAUGCAGUGUACCCGCGGCAAGACGGAAAGACCCCGUGAACCUUUACUAUAGCUUGACACUGAACAUUGAGCCUUGAUGUGUAGGAUAGGUGGGAGGCUUAGAAGUGUGGACGCCAGUCUGCAUGGAGCCGACCUUGAAAUACCACCCUUUAAUGUUUGAUGUUCUAACGUUGACCCGUAAUCCGGGUUGCGGACAGUGUCUGGUGGGUAGUUUGACUGGGGCGGUCUCCUCCUAAAGAGUAACGGAGGAGCACGAAGGUUGGCUAAUCCUGGUCGGACAUCAGGAGGUUAGUGCAAUGGCAUAAGCCAGCUUGACUGCGAGCGUGACGGCGCGAGCAGGUGCGAAAGCAGGUCAUAGUGAUCCGGUGGUUCUGAAUGGAAGGGCCAUCGCUCAACGGAUAAAAGGUACUCCGGGGAUAACAGGCUGAUACCGCCCAAGAGUUCAUAUCGACGGCGGUGUUUGGCACCUCGAUGUCGGCUCAUCACAUCCUGGGGCUGAAGUAGGUCCCAAGGGUAUGGCUGUUCGCCAUUUAAAGUGGUACGCGAGCUGGGUUUAGAACGUCGUGAGACAGUUCGGUCCCUAUCUGCCGUGGGCGCUGGAGAACUGAGGGGGGCUGCUCCUAGUACGAGAGGACCGGAGUGGACGCAUCACUGGUGUUCGGGUUGUCAUGCCAAUGGCACUGCCCGGUAGCUAAAUGCGGAAGAGAUAAGUGCUGAAAGCAUCUAAGCACGAAACUUGCCCCGAGAUGAGUUCUCCCUGACUCCUUGAGAGUCCUGAAGGAACGUUGAAGACGACGACGUUGAUAGGCCGGGUGUGUAAGCGCAGCGAUGCGUUGAGCUAACCGGUACUAAUGAACCGUGAGGCUUAACCUUACAACGCCGAAGCUGUU
RNAcentral lists this ribosomal RNA (2775 nucleotides) under Escherichia coli. Its description in RNAcentral is "partial 23S ribosomal RNA". It matches the Rfam family "Bacterial large subunit ribosomal RNA". The record is from RNAcentral. Lineage: Bacteria; Pseudomonadati; Pseudomonadota; Gammaproteobacteria; Enterobacterales; Enterobacteriaceae.